Molecule: non-coding RNA, 28 nt
Filed under: Homo sapiens (human)
Lineage: Eukaryota; Metazoa; Chordata; Mammalia; Primates; Hominidae
Source: RNAcentral
UGGUCUUAUUCGCCUCUUGUGACACAGC